This 507-nucleotide ribosomal RNA is filed under the name uncultured bacterium. RNAcentral's name for it is "bacterial SSU rRNA". It matches the Rfam family "Bacterial small subunit ribosomal RNA", at positions 8 to 526 of the family's 1533-position model. The record is from RNAcentral.
AGAGUUUGAUCAUGGCUCAGGACGAACGCUGGCGGCGCGCUUAACACAUGCAAGUCGAGCGAGAACCAGGCCUUCGGGUCUGGGGAAAGCGGCGAACGGGUGAGUAACACGUGAGUAACCUGCCCUCGGCACCGGGAUAGCCCGGGGAAACCCGGAUUAAUACCGGAUAGCCAUUCGAGCUCUCGAGCGCGAAUGAAAAGGUAGCUUCGGCCUCUGGCCGAGGAUGGGCUCGCGGCGGAUUAGCUUGUUGGUGAGGUAAAAGCUCACCAAGGCGACGAUCCUUAGCUGGUCUGAGAGGAUGAUCAGCCACACUGGGACUGAGACACGGCCCAGACUCCUACGGGAGGCAGCAGUGGGGAAUAUUGGACAAUGGACGAAAGCCUGAUCCAGCAAUGCCGCGUGAGUGAUGAAGGCCUUAGGGUUGUAAAGCUCUUUUACCCGGGAUGAUAAUGACAGUACCGGGAGAAUAAGCCCCGGCUAACUCCGUGCCAGCAGCGGCGGUAAUUC